AUGAAGUGAUUCACCCUAUGUUGUUCUAUAUGGAACUGAUAGUUCCUUGGGUUACUUGGUACUAUGCAUAUGUAUGUUUUUACUAUUGCUGGUGUACCAUGUAUUGGGUGUGCUUAUGGUUUGUGGGAAUUGUGGGCAAUUUCUUGUAAACAUUUCAAAAGAUUGGUAUAUAAAUUAGACAACUGAAACUGAAUUGGCAGAAUUUCUUAAAUGAGUCCACCAGCUUAGCUAGUUUUUCAAUGCAUACGUGUAUGGACAGUUAUAUUCGUGUACGCAUAAUGGUUUCAAUUUUGGUUAUACAUACAGACACAUGUCGGUUGUGUAGGAUAUCUGAUUCUUUUAUGCGGCCAUCA
Molecule: unclassified non-coding RNA, 353 nt
Filed under: Hevea brasiliensis (rubber tree)
Lineage: Eukaryota; Viridiplantae; Streptophyta; Magnoliopsida; Malpighiales; Euphorbiaceae
Source: RNAcentral